GGGCGAAUUUCAGGCUUUACCAUGCAAGUUCGAGGGGCAUCAGUUUGGUUUGCUUGCAACCAAAGCUGGCGACCCGUUUCACGGGUGAGUAACACGUAUCCAACCUACCUCAUACUCCGUGAUAGCCUUUCGAAAGAAAGAUUAAUAUCCGAUAGCAUAUAUUUCCCGCAUGGGUUUUAUAUUAAAGAAAUUCGGUAUGAGAUGGGGAUGCGUUCCAUUAGUUUGUUGGGGGGGUAACGGCCCACCAAGACUACGAUGGAUAGGGGUUCUGAGAGGAAGGUCCCCCACAUUGGAACUGAGACACGGUCCAAACUCCUACGGGAGGCAGCAGUGAGGAAUAUUGGUCAAUGGACGCGAGUCUGAACCAGCCAAGUAGCGUGAAGGAUGACUGCCCUAUGGGUUGUAAACUUCUUUUAUAUGGGAAUAAAGUGGUCCACGUGUGGACUUUUGUAUGUACCAUAUGAAUAAGGAUCGGCUAACUCCGUGCCAGCAGCCGCGGUAAUACGGAGGAUCCGAGCGUUAUCCGGAUUUAUUGGGUUUAAAGGGAGCGUACGCGGAUUGUUAAGUCAGUUGUGAAAGUUUGCGGCUCAACCGUAAAAUUGCAGUUGAUACUGGCAGCCUUGAGUGCAGUAGAGGUGGGCGGAAUUCGUGGUGUAUCGGUGAAAUGCUUAUAUAUCACGAAUAAUUCCGAUUGCCACUG
This 700-nucleotide ribosomal RNA is filed under the name uncultured bacterium. RNAcentral describes it as "bacterial SSU rRNA". It matches the Rfam family "Bacterial small subunit ribosomal RNA", at positions 33 to 721 of the family's 1533-position model. The record is from RNAcentral.